AGUUUGAUCCUGGCUCAGGAUGAACGCUCGUUGCGUGCUUAACACAUGCAAGUCGAACGGGCUCAUAUUGAAACCUAGUGAUUUAUGAGUUAGUGGCGGACGGGUGAGUAACGCGUGGAAAACCUGCCGUAUACUGGGGGAUAACACUUAGAAAUAGGUGCUAAUACCGCAUAAGCGCACAGCUUCGCAUGAAGUGGUGUGAAAAACUCCGGUGGUAUACGAUGGUUCCGCGUCUGAUUAGCUUGUUGGCGGGGUAAUGGCUCACCAAGGCGACGAUCAGUAGCCGGCCUGAGAGGGUGAACGGCCACAUUGGGACUGAGACACGGCCCAAACUCCUACGGGAGGCAGCAGUGGGGAAUAUUGCACAAUGGGGGAAACCCUGAUGCAGCGACGCCGCGUGAGUGAAGAAGUAUUUCGGUAUGUAAAGCUCUAUCAGCAGGGAAGAAAUAGCGACCUUUGGGUCGCCAGACGGUACCUGAUUAAGAAGCCCCGGCUAACUACGUGCCAGCAGCCGCGGUAAUACGUAGGGGGCAAGCGUUAUCCGGAUUUACUGGGUGUAAAGGGAGCGUAGACGGCAGCACAAGUCUGAAGUGAAAUGCCGGGGCUUAACCUCGGAACUGCUUUGGAAACUGUGCAGCUAGAGUGCAGGAGAGGUAAGUGGAAUUCCUAGUGUAGCGGUGAAAUGCGUAGAUAUUAGGAGGAACACCAGUGGCGAAGGCGGCUUACUGGACUGUAACUGACGUUGAGGCUCGAAAGCGUGGGGAGCAAACAGGAUUAGAUACCCUGGUAGUCCACGCUGUAAACGAU
This 807-nucleotide ribosomal RNA is filed under the name uncultured bacterium. RNAcentral's name for it is "bacterial SSU rRNA". It matches the Rfam family "Bacterial small subunit ribosomal RNA", at positions 10 to 810 of the family's 1533-position model. The record is from RNAcentral.